Molecule: ribosomal RNA, 468 nt
Filed under: uncultured bacterium
Lineage: Bacteria
Description: bacterial SSU rRNA
Rfam family: Bacterial small subunit ribosomal RNA
Source: RNAcentral
AGUUUGAUCCUGGCUCAGAACGAACGCUGGCGGCAUGCCUAACACAUGCAAGUCGAACGAUGCUUUCGGGCAUAGUGGCGCACGGGUGCGUAACGCGUGGGAAUCUGCCCUUGGGUUCGGAAUAACAGUUGGAAACGACUGCUAAUACCGGAUGAUGUCGAUAAGACCAAAGAUUUAUCGCCCGAGGAUGAGCCCGCGUCGGAUUAGCUAGUUGGUGGGGUAAAGGCCUACCAAGGCGACGAUCCGUAGCUGGUCUGAGAGGAUGAUCAGCCACACUGGGACUGAGACACGGCCCAGACUCCUACGGGAGGCAGCAGUGGGGAAUAUUGGACAAUGGGCGCAAGCCUGAUCCAGCAAUGCCGCGUGAGUGAUGAAGGCCUUAGGGUUGUAAAGCUCUUUUACCCGGGAAGAUAAUGACUGUACCGGGAGAAUAAGCCCCGGCUAACUCCGUGCCAGCAGCCGCGGUAA